GCCCACAUAGCUCAGUUGGCAGAGCACUUCCAUGGUAAGGAAGAGGUCAGAGGUUCGAUUCUUCUUGUGGGCA
RNAcentral lists this transfer RNA (73 nucleotides) under uncultured SAR11 cluster alpha proteobacterium H17925_23J24. Its description in RNAcentral is "tRNA-Thr". It matches the Rfam family "tRNA". Rfam says of the family: Transfer RNA (tRNA) molecules are approximately 80 nucleotides in length. Their secondary structure includes four short double-helical elements and three loops (D, anti-codon, and T loops). The record is from RNAcentral. Lineage: Bacteria; Pseudomonadati; Pseudomonadota; Alphaproteobacteria; Candidatus Pelagibacterales.